GCCCCCGUAGCUCAGUCGGAGAGAGCAUCUGCCUUCUAAGCAGAGGGUCGGGCGUUCGAGUCGCCCCGGGGGUA
This 74-nucleotide transfer RNA is filed under the name Candidatus Saccharimonadota bacterium. RNAcentral's name for it is "tRNA-Arg". It matches the Rfam family "tRNA". From Rfam's summary of the family: Transfer RNA (tRNA) molecules are approximately 80 nucleotides in length. Their secondary structure includes four short double-helical elements and three loops (D, anti-codon, and T loops). Further hydrogen bonds mediate the characteristic L-shaped molecular structure. tRNAs have two regions of fundamental functional importance: the anti-codon, which is responsible for specific mRNA codon recognition, and the 3' end, to which the tRNAs corresponding amino acid is attached (by aminoacyl-tRNA synthetases). tRNAs cope with the degeneracy of the genetic code in two manners: having more than one tRNA (with a specific anti-codon) for a particular amino acid; and 'wobble' base-pairing, i.e. permitting non-standard base-pairing at the 3rd anti-codon position. Lineage: Bacteria; Candidatus Saccharimonadota. The record is from RNAcentral. RNAcentral also lists the same sequence under 1 other name.